This 506-nucleotide ribosomal RNA is filed under the name uncultured bacterium. RNAcentral's name for it is "partial 16S ribosomal RNA". It matches the Rfam family "Bacterial small subunit ribosomal RNA", at positions 29 to 523 of the family's 1533-position model. The record is from RNAcentral.
AGUGAACGCUGGCGGUAGGCCUAACACAUGCAAGUCGAACGGCAGCACAGAGGAGCUUGCUCCUUGGGUGGCGAGUGGCGGACGGGUGAGGAAUACAUCGGAAUCGACUCUGUCGUGGGGGAUAGCGUAGGGAAACUUACGCUAAUACCGCAUACGACCUACGGGUGAAAGCAGGGGACCUCCGGGCCUUGCGCGAUUGAAUGGGUCGAUGUCGGAUUAGCUAGUUGGCGGGGUAAAGGCCCACCAAGGCGACGAUCCGUAGCUGGUCUGAGAGGAUGAUCAGCCACACUGGAACUGAGACACGGUCCAGACUCCUACGGGAGGCAGCAGUGGGGAAUAUUGGACAAUGGGCGCAAGCCUGAUCCAGCCAUACCGCGUGGGUGAAGAAGGCCUUCGGGUUGUAAAGCCCUUUUGUUGGGAAAGAAAUCCAGCUGGCUAAUACCCGGUUGGGAUGACGGUACCCAAAGAAUAAGCACCGGCUAACUUCGUGCCAGCCGCCGCAGUAA